UACAGAGGUCUCAAGCGUUGUUCGGAUUCAUUGGGCGUAAAGAGCUCGUAGGCGGUUCGAUAAGUCGGGUGUGAAACCUCCAGGCUCAACCUGGAGGCGCCACCCGAUACUGUCGUGACUAGAGUCCAGUAGGGGAGCGUGGAAUUCCUGGUGUAGCGGUGAAAUGCGCAGAUAUCAGGAGGAACACCAGCGGCGAAGGCGGCGCUCUGGGCUGGAACUGACGCUGAGGAGCGAAAGCGUGGGGAGCGAACAGG
This 254-nucleotide ribosomal RNA is filed under the name uncultured bacterium. RNAcentral's name for it is "partial 16S ribosomal RNA". It matches the Rfam family "Bacterial small subunit ribosomal RNA", at positions 524 to 776 of the family's 1533-position model. The record is from RNAcentral.